CAGGACGAACGCUGGCGGCGUGCCUAAUACAUGCAAGUCGAACGGUCUUUCUAUGGAAGCUUGCUUCAACUGAGAAGAUAGUGGCGAACGGGUGAGUAACACGUGGGUAACCUGCCCAUAAGAGGGGGAUAACAUCCGGAAACGGGUGCUAAUACCGCAUAGUUUUCUUGAUCGCAUGAUCGGGAAAGGAAAGACGGCCUUUGUGCUGUCGCUUAUGGAUGGACCCGCGGCGUAUUAGUUAGUUGGUGAGGUAACGGCUCACCAAGACGAUGAUACGUAGCCGACCUGAGAGGGUGAUCGGCCACAUUGGGACUGAGACACGGCCCAAACUCCUACGGGAGGCAGCAGUAGGGAAUCUUCCGCAAUGGACGAAAGUCUGACGGAGCAACGCCGCGUGAGUGAAGAAAGGGUUUUCGGAUCGUAAAACUCUGUUGUCAGAGAAGAACAAGUUGGAGAGUAACUGCUCCAGCCUUGACGGUAUCUGACCAGAAAGCCACGGCUAACUACGUGCCAGCCGCAGC
Molecule: ribosomal RNA, 521 nt
Filed under: uncultured bacterium
Lineage: Bacteria
Description: bacterial SSU rRNA
Rfam family: Bacterial small subunit ribosomal RNA
Source: RNAcentral